RNAcentral lists this ribosomal RNA (467 nucleotides) under uncultured bacterium. RNAcentral's name for it is "partial 16S ribosomal RNA". It matches the Rfam family "Bacterial small subunit ribosomal RNA", at positions 28 to 507 of the family's 1533-position model. The record is from RNAcentral.
GACGAACGCUGGCGGCGUGCUUAACACAUGCAAGUCGAACGGAAAGGCCUCUUUCGGGGGGUACUCGAGUGGCGAACGGGUGAGUAACACGUGAGUAACCUGCCCUUGACUUUGGGAUAACUUCAGGAAACUGGGGCUAAUACCGGAUAGGAGCUCCUGCUGCAUGGUGGGGGUUGGAAAGUUUCGGCGGUUGGGGAUGGACUGGCGGCGUAUCAGCUUGUUGGGGGGGUAGUGGCUUACCAAGGCUUUGACGGGUAGCCGGCCUGUGAGGGUGACCGGCCACAUUGGGACUGAGAUACGGCCCAGACUCCUACGGGAGGCAGCAGGGGGGAAGAUUGCACAAUGGGUGGAAGCCUGAUGCAGCAACGCCGUGUGCGGGAUGACGGCCUUCGGGUUGUAAACCGCUUUCGCUCAUGACGAAGCUUUGUGUGACGGUAGUGGGUAAAGAAGCACCGGCUAACUACGUG